Molecule: long non-coding RNA, 2151 nt
Organism: Herpailurus yagouaroundi (jaguarundi)
Lineage: Eukaryota; Metazoa; Chordata; Mammalia; Carnivora; Felidae
Exons: 2
Source: RefSeq, a predicted model, not a curated record
AGUCAAGUCUUGGCAUAUUUUCAGCUACUACUGUUUAGCCUGAUAAAGAAGACAAUGAAUAUACAGUUUUUAUCUUUGAUAGAACCUAGGAAACAAAGCUUUUGAUUAAGAGGUUCCAACAUGGCAAACCCAAGAUCUUUAUUGACACAUGGUCUUUGCUACAGACUUUGGCUAGUGGAGCCUUUAAAGUGACAAGAUGUUAAUUUGGGGCUUUCCUACCUCAGUUUUGUGUGUCAUGUAAUAGGACAAACCUCAGGCCCUGUUGGCUUGUCAAUAUCAGAUUUCUUUGACAUUCUUAUAAGCACUGUAGCCCUUGGAUUCUUUUAUGAAGGAGCCAUCAAACCCCCUGCUUCUCAGACUUAUGGAAUUCCCUGAGGCUGUGUCUGCACAUUGGCACAGAGGCCACUCGAGAAGUGACAAUUGUGGCUGGACAGUGCACUGUCUUGGCCUCUGGGAUCAGGCCAAUCCUGUCUGCUUUGGCAAUUUGAUCUCAUUGGCUAUUCAAUUUCUGCUUGGGGUUGGCUAACUGUUGAAAGCAUGAGUCAUGCAAGAACUUGGACUUUGGAGCCGAACAGAAUGUGGAAACCUGGCUCCGUCAUGUACAGAUGUGACCUUGGGCAAGAUGCUGACCUGGAGGGGUUCAGGUUACGUUAAUAAGAUGGAAGUGUCAUGGCACUUAGGAUAUGGGGCUGUGAAGAUGAUACAAGCCAAAGCUUGCAAGGCAUCUGACUUCAGUUUGUGGAAUAAACACUCACUUGGCGACAGCUCUUAUUAUCAAAAUUAUUUUUAGGGGCCUGACUGCACUGUGGUGUGAGCCCCUUGGCGAUUUUUGAGUCUGAGUUACAUGCCCAGUUUUGCCUCGUCGAAGGGGUCUUCACUGCCUUUCUUCAGCCGGCUCCGGAAGGCCCGAUUUGAGUGGAAACAUCCGUGAGUUGCCAUGACGAUGUCAUUUUUGAUUUGCACAGGGACUUUCCACGUUUUGAAGGGGAUAGCUUCUCCUCAGCAUGGGGACACUUGCCAAGCUUCGAAAGAGCUAUAAACUUGCUGAGUCGUGGAAAGGUAUUCUUGGAUACAGAGCUUCCAACAAACCAGACCCUGUUUGUAAUUAAUUUGAAUGUUUCCAGAGCUUCAUGUUAUGCCCUCCCUGUUGUAUUUCCAUAGGGAGUUCAUUGGGCCAUAGCUCUGGUUUGGAAAACGGUGCUCACUCCUCACUUCUAUUGCAUGGGCUAUGUGUUAAUGGAAAGCGGUUAUUUUUUGUCUCCAGGCAUGGAAAUAAGCCCUUGUCUCUGAGCCUGGAAAGAAUCAUGGUGGAUUUUACUUCUGAGCAUUGGUUUUUGGGUUGGGGAAAGCAGCUGAAUAUCUGUGGACACCUACUCCUCCAGUGAAUAAACAGGACAGCGGUCAAAAGAGAGAGCAGUGAACUUGUUGAGGCCAUAGUAAAGUGUAUUGCUACAUCAUUUUAAAACUUUGUUUGCCUUUUAAUUUUUUUUAAUUUAAUUUUUUUACUACCUUACUAUUUUUGAAGCUUAAUAAUAUGGUUAAAAGUUAUACCUGGCUAGGUUUCAGGUGGAAUCACCACUCCCAUAUCUGACAGUGUGUACAAGCUUUCUGAAUCCUAAAUUCUACACCUGUAGAUGGAAUGAAAACAGUUAUGUACAUAUGUACAUGGUUUGGUUUUGGGUUGGGUUUUCCAAAAAUCAGACUCUGAGAGUAGGAUUUUUAACUAGUUUAUUUGGGAAAUGACCCAAGGAGCACUGGUACAGAAGUGGGAAGUGAGAUAGGCAAGGGAUAGAAGCCAACAAAUGAGGUAAUAAUAAGUAAGUGACUUUUUGGGGCAAUAGGGGUUCCACCUCCUGGGGACCAUUGGGAGCCUGCAGAGAGUACAUACAAGAUUGACCUCCUCAAGCUGUGAGGACCCACCACAGAGCAUUUAAGUUAAGUCCUAUAUACCAUUGGUUUAAGGAAGUAACUCACUAGCACUCCUGGCCUUAUCCAGAUAAUGGGCUAAACAUGCACUGUGGCCAGAUAAGGCCCUCAGACAAGGAAGGGUGAAUGCCAAGAGAAUAUGUGUAGUGGACCCAUGACUCCCUGUCACAUAGAAGGUUUAACAGUAAAGUGAUGCUGAGAAACUAGAUGCCUUUCCCCUAAGAU